AUUGAACGCUGGCGGCAGGCCUAACACAUGCAAGUCGAACGGUAACAGGAAACAGCUUGCUGUUUCGCUGACGAGUGGCGGACGGGUGAGUAAUGUCUGGGAAACUGCCUGAUGGAGGGGGAUAACUACUGGAAACGGUAGCUAAUACCGCAUAACGUCGCAAGACCAAAGAGGGGGACCUUCGGGCCUCUUGCCAUCGGAUGUGCCCAGAUGGGAUUAGUUAGUAGGUGGGGUAACGGCUCACCUAGGCGACGAUCCCUAGCUGGUCUGAGAGGAUGACCAGCCACACUGGAACUGAGACACGGUCCAGACUCCUACGGGAGGCAGCAGUGGGGAAUAUUGCACAAUGGGCGCAAGCCUGAUGCAGCCAUGCCGCGUGUAUGAAGAAGGCCUUCGGGUUGUAAAGUACUUUCAGCGGGGAGGAAGGGAGUAAAGUUAAUACCUUUACUCAUUGACGUUACCCGCAGAAGAAGCACCGGCUAACUCCGUG
This 490-nucleotide ribosomal RNA is filed under the name uncultured bacterium. RNAcentral's name for it is "partial 16S ribosomal RNA". It matches the Rfam family "Bacterial small subunit ribosomal RNA", at positions 30 to 507 of the family's 1533-position model. The record is from RNAcentral.